GACGAACGCUGGCGGCGUGCUUAACACAUGCAAGUCGAACGGAAAGGCGCUGCGUUUGUGGGUUGCUCGUUUGGCGAACGGGUGAGUAACACGUGAGUAACCUGCCCCUGACUGUGGGAGAACUUCAGGAAACUGCGGCGAUUACCGGGUAGGAUCUCCUGCUGCACGGGGGGGGUUGGAAAGUGUCGGCGGUGGGGGAUGGAUUCGCGGCUUAUCAGCUUGUUUGUGGGGUAGUUGCUUACCAAGGCUUUGACGGGUAGCCGGCCUGAGAGGGUGACCGGCCACAAUGGGACUGCGGUACGGCCCAGACUCCUACGGGCGGCAGCAGUGGGGAAUAUUGCACAAUGGGCGGAAGCCUGAUGCGGCAACGCCGCGUGCGGGAUGACGGCCUUCGGGUUGUAAACAGAUUUCGACUGUGACGAAGCGUGAGUGACGGUAAUGGGUAAAGAAGCACCGGCUAACUACGUG
Molecule: ribosomal RNA, 468 nt
Filed under: uncultured bacterium
Lineage: Bacteria
Description: partial 16S ribosomal RNA
Rfam family: Bacterial small subunit ribosomal RNA
Source: RNAcentral